CCCACACAAUAAGAAACACAAAUACGUUGAUCUCUUCUGAAGCUGUCUUUCUCCCGUCCUCUUUGUCUCUGUUUCUGUUCUUAUUUAUUUUGAAGAUCUCACCUCUUAGUCUCUCAUACAAGUAGAUUAGAGCACACAUCUCUUCCUCUAUAACCUUUCUUCCUAAGCAAACUGAUCUAUCAAUGGUAGAUCUAACAUCUAUCUAAGGUUUGAGCUUUUGGUGAAGAUGAACUAGCCCAGCCACCUUUUUAGUGAUGAUUUGUGUGUGAGGAACCAUGAGAACCGUGAGGUCAGGGUGUUCCUGAGAACACCCUCACCUGAACGUGGCGUCGCCACUGGUUUUGGGUGGCUUGCUUUGUAUCUGAGAAGAGAGACAGACGAAGAGGAAGAGAGAGAAAGAGUCGAGGAAUUCAUGAGGAGACGUAGAAAACGACAUUGGUUGUGGCUUUGCUUGCAACAGUCAAGCACUUCUGCCACGUGCUGUGGCUGGACUGCUGCAGGCAUUGGGAACAGAAGGAUUUCGAAAGAUUUACUAAAUAUCGGAGAGAAGCGAUUAGUGGUGAUUUCUAGAGACCCUUUCAUAAAAAAAAUCAGGGUGGAGGAAGAUAUCAUUCUACUUCAACCUCUCUUUUGAAAUCAGAGACAAGACUAUCGAACUUGAUGAAAAUCGAAAUGUUCAGCGUGCUGAAUUUGUGGUUCGGGCAUACAUGCAAGGUGGUAGGUUCUCAGAUGGGUGGGGCUCAUGUAAGCGGCAUGAGAAGAGAUUUUUAAAACCAAAUCAUGAUAUACCCAGUACAGCAGAGAUCAGAGCAAAAAAUAAAUCAUGCCAAGACUUGCUUGGAAUUGGAGAAUAUCGACCGGGUGCAAGCCAAGGCUAGAGAUGAGAAACAUCAAAUAAUCUGGUAAUCGUUAGGGUUUGAAAAGGAGAUGGAGGUGAUACCUAUUCACUAACUACAAUGUACAAGAUGCAUCUUUUGGAUGAUAUGAUGCAUUAUGUUGAUGUUAUUUAGGGGGUCAGUAUAUAUCUUCAUUGUCAAAGCCUUGUUGACAAUGUAUUUUGUAACUUAUACAUUAUUUUUAUAAUUUGACAAUGAAAUAUGUUAUAUCAUCUUUAUGUUAA
Quercus robur (English oak) is the source of this 1120-nucleotide long non-coding RNA. RefSeq lists it as uncharacterized. The record is from RefSeq and is a predicted model, not a curated record. Lineage: Eukaryota; Viridiplantae; Streptophyta; Magnoliopsida; Fagales; Fagaceae. The transcript has 7 exons.